Hemibagrus wyckioides is the source of this 7684-nucleotide RNA transcript. It is a transcript of the gene named molybdenum cofactor sulfurase, with no coding region annotated. The transcript is spliced from 16 exons. NCBI's taxonomy places the organism in Eukaryota, Metazoa, Chordata, Actinopteri, Siluriformes, Bagridae. The record is from RefSeq and is a predicted model, not a curated record.
CAGUUAAAGUCUGAAAAGUCAGUCAGUCCCACAGGAGCAGAGUUACAGCCUGAGCACUGUUGUGUCUUCGCCUUGUUUUUCUCCGCUCAAAUGUGGACUUGGGACUCGGCUGUAGGCUGUCACAAAAGUUCAUUUACCUCGGAGAAAAUGUCAGCGACAUACUGGCUGUCAGAGAGGCUGACAUUUUGACAUAAUGGAAACGCUUUCGAGUGAAUUUAACCGCCUGUGCACGUUUGAGAGCUUUAAGGAAAUCUGGCCGUGUUACACUUUCGCUUGUGAGCAGCAGGAGCUGAUCCGCCGUGAAUUUUCCAGGCUCAAAGAUAUUACCUACCUCGAUCAUGCUGGGACAACGCUCUUUGCUGAAUCCCAGGUCAAAGCGUUUUAUGAGGAUAUAUCCAGGAAUGUGUACGGUAACCCUCACAGUCUCAGUCCCAGCAGUAAAAUGACACAUGACACGGUGGAGCGGGUCAGAUACAGGAUACUGGAGCACUUUAACACAAGCCCUGAUGAAUACUCAGUCAUUUUCACUCCAGGCUGCACUGCAGCUCUUAAAUUAGUGGCUGAAACUUUUCCUUGGACGUCUGCUUCUGAUGAACAUUCAGGAAGUCAAUUCUGCUACCUCACCGACAAUCACACAUCAGUAGUUGGCAUUCGAGGGGUAACUGGACCUCAAGGAGUGGGAGCAGUGCCCGUGUUUCCUCAGGAAAUAGAAGAAAAGGCCAAAGCUAGCCAAGUCAUGAUGAAUACACAGGAUGAAUGCUUGGUGGCACAUCUUUUUUGUUAUCCUGCCCAGAGCAAUUUUUCUGGGCGGAAAUAUCCUAUGAGUUAUGUGAGAGGGAUUCAGUGCCAGCAGCUCUACCCAGCAUGUGAGCAUAGGGGUCGGUGGUUUGUUCUGCUGGAUGCUUCCGGAUUUGUUGGCUGCUCACAACUGGACCUGAAGCAACACCCAGCUGAUUUUGUGCCCAUCUCUUUCUAUAAAAUGUUUGGAUUCCCCACUGGACUUGGAGCCUUGCUGGUGAGGAAUGAAGUUGCUGAGCUGUUGAAAAAGAAGUAUUUUGGUGGAGGCACAGCAGCAGCUUAUCUGGUGGGGGAGGACUACUUUGUACCAAAGUCUGACAUUGUUAGCAGAUUUGAAGAUGGAACCAUUUCAUUCCUUGAUAUUAUUUCCCUCCACCAUGGGUUUGAUGCUUUGCACAGACUGACUGGAAGCAUGAUGAACAUACAGCUUCACACAUUUGGCCUAGCUCAUUAUACUUACACCAUACUGUCUUGCCUGUGCCACAGCAAUGCACAACCUGUGGCUCAGAUCUAUUGUGACAGUGAGUUUGAGAAUGCAACAGAUCAGGGUGCUAUCAUCAACUUCAACUUGCUGGACUGCCAUGGCCAAGUGAUCGGAUACUAUCAGGUGGACAAAAUGGCCUGUCUGUUCAAUAUCCAUUUGCGCACAGGCUGUUUCUGUAACACUGGGGCCUGCCAGGCAUAUCUAGGCAUCAGCAACCAAGAGGUAAAGAGUAACUUACAGGCCGGUCAUGUCUGUGGAGACAACAUUGACCUGAUUGAUGGACGUCCAACCGGGUCUGUCCGGAUAUCCUUUGGGUAUAUGUCAACUUUUGAAGACUGUCAGAGUUUCUUAAAGUUUAUUGUUGACUGCUUUGUGGAAAAACCACUAAUAUUGAACCAUGAGAGACUGGCAAGGUUAAAGUCAACUGGAAUGGCAGAGACCUCGGUUUCCAAUGAGCUGACGUCAAUCGAGAGACCCGUGCCUAUGAUGAAUGACCUAAAUAUCUCUCCUGCUUCUGUCAGUCAAACAUUUUUACAGGAUACUAUUCCAAAGGCAGAUAGGAACAGUGAAAUUACUUAUACACUGACCAAUAUCUUCAUAUAUCCCAUUAAGUCCUGUGCUGCAUUUGAGGUGACAGAAUGGCCUUUGGGCCCUCAGGGACUCUUAUAUGACCGCAUGUGGAUGGUAGUGAAUGAGAAUGGAGUGUGUCUGAGUCAGAAGAGAGAACCCAAACUGUGUCUAAUAAAUCCACACAUCUGCCUAAACUCCAAGACGCUGUGUCUGGAAGCCUCAGGUAUGGAUCCAAUUACUGUUCCCCUGGAGAUCAGUAAAGAAAAGCAUGGCUCAAGAACAUGUCAAAGCAAAGUCUGUGGUGACAGGGUGCAGACUGUUGACUGUGGGGAGGAAGUAUCAGUCUGGUUGUCAGAGUUCCUGGGAAAACCUUGCAGUCUCAUUAGACAGAGUCCCAGUUUUGUCCGGGAUAUGAAAAUGGGCACAGGAAUGGGUGCCUGUCUCUCUCUGGUGAAUGAGGCUCAGUUUUUGCUAAUUAACAGAGCUAGCAUGGCACUUCUGCUUAAUCACAUCAUUAACAGGCAAGGCAGUUCAAAUAAUUGCACCUCUUUUGACAUGCUGCAACUCAUCAAUCGUUUUCGGGCGAACCUCGUUAUCUCAGGCUCAGAGCCUUUUGAAGAAGAGGACUGGACAAGUGUAAAAAUAGGCAGCACACCCUUUCAGGUGGCAGGGAAAUGUAGUCGUUGCCAAAUGAUUGGAAUAGAUCAGACCUCUGGCACUAAAUCCCAGGAGCCUCUCAGAUCUCUGUCUGAUUGCCGGAGUGGAAAGAUUACAUUUGGAGUGUACUUGAAUCAUCUGUUACCGAGAUCCAAUCCAUAUCCUAUGUUGUCUGUUGAGUCCCAUGUGAUGGUCAAACCAACAGCUGAAUGUUAGACAACUGCUGCAACAUGGAGCAUGUGUAAAAAUCCCAGGAUUAAACUGUGUCUGUAAAACUGAAUAAGUCUUAUGUCAAAUUUACACUGCUGAUAAUCUAACCAUUAUAUUAAAUACACAACUUAUAAGCAAAUAGGACAUCACUCACAAGGCUAUGUUCCAUGGGUGGCUAAAUUCUAUGUAAGCAUUUGUAGAUAGGUUGUAUUGUACAGUCUGGAGUGAAGGCUAACCUGCUGAUCUGAACCCACAGACAAGCUACUGUAACAAACACUGCUGAAACUAUUUAUGUUGGCUAUGACAGAAAGGUAUCAGAACACACAGUGUUGGGCAUGUGAGCAUCAGAACUGGAUUAUGGAGCAAUGGAAGAAGUUAGGCCUGGUCUGAUGAAUCAAGUUUUCUUUUGCAUUAUAUUGACUACUAUGUGUGUGUGCAUCACUUGCCUGGGGAAAAGAUCUGAAGAAGUUCACAUGGAUAUUAGAUUGACAUUUACCACCUACCUAAACACUGUUGCAGACCACUGUUAUGCCCUGACACACUGCAAAAAUUGUUCAGAAAUGAUUUGAGGAACAUGACCAGAGUUCAAGGUGGCCUGACCUUGACUCCCAAAUUCCACAGAUCUUAAUCAGAUCGAGCAUCUGUGGGAUGUGCUGGAGAAACAAGUCAGAUCCAUGGAGAGCCCAUCCAUGUGCCCACCAUGGAGAAACAUACAGGACUUAAAGGAUCUGGUUGUAACAUCUUGGCGACAAAUACCACAGCACACCUUCAGAGGGCUUGUGGAAUCCGUCUGUCGAUGGGAGUUGUUUUGGCAGCACAAGAGGGAACUACACAAUAUUAGGUUUUAACAUUAUGGCUGAUUGGUGUAUGAGACAACCUUGAAAGAUUAAGAGAACAUAUAUAAAGCUUAUUGUAAAUUUAAUGCAGUGUGCUGAUUCUCACUCACCUCAUAUCAUUUAACAUGAAGCUCAAGGGCCACAUUAACCACAGCCCAUUCUCUACAGUGAUAAUAAACUCAGCAAGGUCUGGCUUGAAUCAUUUUUUCUAAAGAAAAAAAAAAGGAUUUUUACCAAAAAAUAGGUAAACGCUGCUCCACACAACAAAAGAAAGUGCUUUUUCUCAAGCUCGAACACCCAGGGAAAAAAUCAUUGUAAUUGAUUUUAAACUCUCUAAUGGAUUAUUGCUACUAAGUACAUUAUGCAAAUCUUUUAGGGCAUUUUAAUGAAUGUUUCAUGCUGCCGUUGUUGUCUGAAACAUGCUGAUGGCAUUAGUGUCAUUUGAACUGAAAGGAGAGGUAAACAUCAACCCAUCACAUCUGUUUAAAAGAAAAACAAGGCUUACUGUUUAAUGGGAACAUGUGCUUAUAGUCUGCUUAACACGGUUCUGUGUAGAGUACUGGUGUUUGUAUUGUAAAUAAGAAUUAGUAUGUUUAUUUCUAUUAGAUUAUCUGACAGGAGAAAAGAGCAAUGCUGAUAUUGUUGAUAUAAGGGUGUUUUUUUGUUGCCUGCCAUGUAAUCUUUUGGGUUUUCUUGUAAUUGCAGUGUAUUAUCCUCAGAUAAAAUUAAGAGUCAGCAGUUGAGCUGAAACAUAAAUACAUUGACUAUACUGUAUAUAAAUCAAAACAGCAUUACAGCUACCUCUGCUACAUGGCAUGGAUUCUAAAAAGGAUAUGAAAUUUCACUAAAAUAAUUUGGAUUUUAUUUCAGUUUAUAUUUCAGAGGUUAUAAACAGGAUGGAACAGAAACAGGUUUUUUUGCCUCACUUAUCUGUGACUCUCCAGGCUUUGGCUAUCUGUAGUUCUUAAACAUGAUUUUGUGUGUCACAUGCAGUUAAUAAAACCACUCCCUAAAUGUUUUCCAGUAAGUGCUGUAUCAUUCCAUCACUAGACAGCGCUAUAAUCCAAGGGGGAACUGAAAUAUUCAUGAAAACAUCUGCCUGACAGAAUGAAAAUGUUAAUUCUAUGAAUCAUGUUUCAACACCGAACUGACUGAAAAAGAUCAAGUCAUUCCUCAUUGCCACAGUCCAUCACAUAGUGAUUAGACCCUUUAAUCGACUCACAUGCAACUCUUUUUCUCUUUAAUCCAAUUUAAUAGAAAUCAUUUGUAAAUAAUGUUCAUGCAUUCCUGUCUCAUGACUACAGUUCCCAGGAGAGGCUCCAGAUCCACCUCAACCCUGAUCAGCAGUUACUGAGGAUGAAUAAAUGAAUGAAUAAUUUUAAUGUAUGCAGAUUCAUAAGUUCAUAUCUAAAGACUGCAAUGUUUGAAAACAGUCAUCCGCCCUAAAAUAAUAAGUUUAGAGAUGUUAUUCUCUGCUAAUGGUGUCAGUGUAGUUUUCAAUAGAGAAAUAACAUGCAGCAACAGGCAGGUUAAUCAAGAAAUUAACAGGAAUAGCUAUCUAGCAGGCACUUUUAUUAAUAGAGAGAUGCUAACAGGACCAAACUGACAUGAGAAUGAAAUGGAUAAUGAAUCAUUUAAACCUUUGGAUAAAAAUAGGAUCAGUUUACAUAUAAAAAUAAAAAAGUUUAUCAGAACUUCUACAGACCUGAGGAAUGCACAGAUUAAGAGUACAUAAGAUUUAUGCAACAUCUGCUUGGUAUUUUAUUGAUUUUCCAUACCACCCAUCUUCCAUCUUAUUGAAUAGCCUUUUUAAAUGGUUCAACAUCUAACAAGGUUUUAGAGAUUUUCAUUGGUCUACCCUCACUCCCUCAUAAAUUCUUCUAGAAUGACGAAGCUAGAUUAGAUUUCUUCGCAGGCGUAUAGCUCGGUAUCAUGCACUUUUUAAUGCUUUGCAUGGAUUUGUUUAAAUGUAAAUAUUCUUCCGAAGCACGUAGAUGCCAUUUUUGACAUGCAGUUUGCACAAUGAUAGCCUUCUAGUUAUCAGCUUUCCUGACUUAUUAUCUAAAAUAACCUUGUAGCUCCAGAACAAACAAACUAAAAAGAUAGGAAAUCAUGUUUGGGCUGAUUAAUUAUAUUUUCUGUAAGGUACAAAACUCUUCAAAUUUAUUUGUUUUGUUUAUUUAUUUUCACAAUGACUUAUUAAUGGUUACUGUGUGUCUGAGUUCCUCUGAUUAAUGCCUAAGCUUCUGCUUUGAUUCAUGAUGAUGCCAAGUAACUUGCAACUUUUUGGGAAGAACAAUUUUGUGAAAUUAGACACGAGCAGAAUUUCAGACAGUGUUCUGAACUUAACUCCAGAGUAAUCAAUACAAUUAAUCUUUUUCCACAAGUAAUUUGCAAGUCUAUUACACAAAAUACUAUGGAACAAAACCUUUCUGCAGUAAUUUUCAUUACAAUACACAAGGUGCCUCAUGUUCUCAUCUUCACUUUGUUUCAGUCAACUGCUGACUAGUUGCUGUGUAGUUUCAAAGAAACUGCUUUGUGCUGUGUGCACAUUCAGUACCCUGUGUCAGGACUUCUUAAACUCUUAUCAGCCAAUGACUAAAGUGUCAAAUAAAUUCUUUAAAGAUGUAUUCUAUGAACAUAGUCCAAUUAUUUAAAUAUUAGAUUCAUUUUUAAUGUGCACAAAAUAUGCCGGCUACUUAUCAGAGUUAAAGAACUUUUUUACUUUUGAAAUUUCCAGACAGAAUAUAUUCACCGAUAUCAGGCAUAACAUUAUGAGCACUGAGAGGUUAAGUGAAUAAAACUGAUUAUCUCCUCAUCAUGGCACCUGUUAGUGGUUGGGAUAUGUUAGGCAGCAAGUGAACAUUUUGUCCUCAAAGUUGAUGUGUUAGAAGCAGGAAAAAUGGGCAAGCCUAAGGAUUUGAGUGAGUUUGACAAGGGCCAAAUUGUGAUGGCUAGACAACUAGAUCAGAGCAGCUCUUGUGGGGUGUUCCCAGUCUGCAGUGGUCAGUAUCUAUCAAAAGUGGUCCAUGGGGACAGGGUCAUGGGCGGCCAAGGCUCACUGAUGCAUGUGGGGAGUGAAGGCUGGCCUGUGUGAUCCGAUCCGACAGACGAGAUACUGUUGCUCAAAUUGCUGAAGAAGUUAAUGCUGGUUCUGUUUGAAUGGUGUUAGAAUACACAGUGCAUCGUAGAUUGUUGCGUAUGGGGCUGCAUAGCCGCAGACCAGUCAGGGUGCCCAUGCUACUGUAACAAACACUGCUGAAACUAUUUAUGUUGGCUAUGACAGAAAGGUAUCAGAACACACAGUGUUGGGCAUGUGAGCAUCAGAACUGGACCACGGAGCAACGGAAGAAGCUGGCCUGGUCUGAUGAAUCACGUUUUCUUUUACAUGGGUGCGUUUUUGUCUCUUGCCUAGGAAAUAACUUUAUCUCUAUGUUUAGCUCUAUGUUUGUCUGCGUCACUGUACUUUGUCUUUGUUAUGUGUAGCACCUUUGGUCUAGGAGGAACGUUGUUUCAUUUCACUGUGUACUGCAUCAGCUAUAUAUGGUUGAAGUGACAAUAAAGCUUCUUUGACUUUGACUUGAAAAAAUACAUGGCACCAGGAUGCACUAUGGGAAGAAGGCAGGCCGGUGGAGGCAGUGUCAUGCUUUUGGCAAUGUUCUGUUGAGAAACCUUGGAUCCUGCCAUCAAUGUGGAUGUUAUUUUCACAUGUACCACCUACCUAAGCAUUGUUGCAGACCAUGUACACCCUUUAAUGGAAACGGUAUUCCCUGAUGGCUGUGGCCUCUUUCAGCAGGAUAAAAUGGUUCAGGAGUCGUUUGAUGAGCACAACAACGAGUUUGAGGUGUUGAAUUGGCCUCCAAAUUCCCCAGAUAUCAAUCCAAUUGAGCAUCUGAGUGGGAUGUGCUGGACAAACAAGUCCGAUCCAUGGAAGCCCCACCUCGCGACUUACAGGACUUAAAGGAUCUGCUGCCAGAUACCACAACACACCUUCAGGGAUCUAGUGGAGUCCAUGACUCGACAGGAGGAUUGAGGAUCUCCACCCACCGAGAAACCUUUCCUGCUUCUUCCUGAUCCAAAAAAACUCCACAGAAGUACACUUUAAAGUCUUGCCAGCUCUCCUGGCUAU